This 65-nucleotide transfer RNA is filed under the name Krisna furcata. RNAcentral's name for it is "tRNA-Trp". The record is from RNAcentral. Lineage: Eukaryota; Metazoa; Arthropoda; Insecta; Hemiptera; Cicadellidae.
AGGAUUUUAAGUUAAUAAAACUGUUAACCUUCAAAGUUAUUAAUAUUAAAAUUUAAUAGAUCUUA